AGAGUUUGAUCCUGGCUCAGAACGAACGCUGGCGGCGUGCUUAACACAUGCAAGUCGAACGAGAAAGGGACUUCGGUCCUGAGUAGAGUGGCGCACGGGUGAGUAACACGUGGAUAAUCUACCCAAUGAUCUGGGAUAACACUUCGAAAGGGGUGCUAAUACCGGAUAAGACCACGGGUUCUUCGGAACUUGCGGGAAAAGGUGGGGACCUUCGGGCCUACUGUCAUUGGAUGAGUCCGCGGCCCAUUAGCUAGUUGGUAGGGUAAUGGCCUACCAAGGCUACGAUGGGUAGCUGGUCUGAGAGGAUGAUCAGCCACACUGGAACUGAGACACGGUCCAGACUCCUACGGGAGGCAGCAGUGGGGAAUUUUGCGCAAUGGGCGGAACCCUGACCGAGCAAUGCCGCGUGAACGAAGAAGGUCUUCGGAUUGUAAAGUUCUGUUAUUGGGAAAGAACGAUCAAUAGAGGAAAUGCUAUUGAAGUGACGGUACCCGAUUAGAAAGCCCCGGCUAACUACGUGCCAGCAGCCGCGGUAAUACGUAGGGGGCGAGCGUUAUCCGGAAUUAUUGGGCGUAAAGCGUGCGUAGGCGGAAUGUUAAGUCAUUUGUAAAAGAUCUCAGCCCAACUGAG
This 630-nucleotide ribosomal RNA is filed under the name uncultured bacterium. RNAcentral's name for it is "bacterial SSU rRNA". It matches the Rfam family "Bacterial small subunit ribosomal RNA", at positions 8 to 617 of the family's 1533-position model. The record is from RNAcentral.